Molecule: ribosomal RNA, 468 nt
Filed under: uncultured bacterium
Lineage: Bacteria
Description: partial 16S ribosomal RNA
Rfam family: Bacterial small subunit ribosomal RNA
Source: RNAcentral
GACGAACGCUGGCGGCGUGCUUAACACAUGCAAGUCGAACGGAAAGGCCCUGCUUUUGUGGGGUGCUCGAGUGGCGAACGGGUGAGUAACACGUGAGUAACCUGCCCUUGACUUUGGGAUAACUUCAGGAAACUGGGGCUAAUACCGGAUAGGAGCUCCUGCUGCAUGGUGGGGGUUGGAAAGUUUCGGCGGUUGGGGAUGGACUCGCGGCUUAUCAGCUUGUUGGUGGGGUAGUGGCUUACCAAGGCUUUGACGGGUAGCCGGCCUGAGAGGGUGACCGGCCACAUUGGGACUGAGAUACGGCCCAGACUCCUACGGGAGGCAGCGGUGGGGAAUAUUGCACAAUGGGCGGAAGCCUGAUGCAGAAACGCCGCGUGCGGGAUGACGGCCUUCGGGUUGUAAACCGCUUUCGCCUGUGACGAAGCGUGAGUGACGGUAAUGGGUAAAGAAGCACCGGCUAACUACGUG